Molecule: long non-coding RNA, 2950 nt
Organism: Nicotiana tabacum (common tobacco)
Lineage: Eukaryota; Viridiplantae; Streptophyta; Magnoliopsida; Solanales; Solanaceae
Source: RefSeq, a predicted model, not a curated record
GGGAUGUGGGGCCUAUUAAUCAACAUGUGACAAGUGGGGGAGGAGGUGGUAGUGAAUAAAUAAAAUAAGGGCAGCAGGGAAUGUGACCCUAUUUUUAAUCCCCAACCACCAAUAAUUACUGCAACACCAACUAUAGAUCUAGAUCUAGGAGAAGAUGUUUUCAAUGUUGUCAAUGAUGAUAUACAAGGAGAAGAUGCUGUCAAUGGUGAAGUAGAAAAUUCCAAUACUUCAUCUAAAUCUGAAUUUGAACUUUUCGAUGACUAUGGAAGUGAUAUACAUGAAGAACUUAGGAUUGUGAAAUAAGAUCUGAAGGCUUACAAUAAAAAGGGGGAAAAUUAAAAGAAAGAAAAAUCAGAUGGGUUUAUAGGUGAGGCUAUUCUUGACGAAGGUUAUGAAGAUAUUGAUAAAGUUAAAAAAAUUAAAAGAUAAAUUGAGAGGUGAUGAUGAUGAGCCAUAUUAUGACUCAUUAGAUGCAGAUAGUUUUGCUAGUGAAUCUGAUGGUGAAGCUGUCAAUGAUGUUGAAGUAGGAGGAGGGAACUUGAGGGAAAGGAGAAAAAGCAAUAGAGUAAUAUAUAAUCCAGAUUGUGAGACGGUUAUUUGGCAAAUUGGUCAAGUAUUUGAAAAUGUGAGUAAGUUUAGAGAGGCUUUAACCGAGUAUGCUGUAAAGAAAGGGGUUCAGUUGGACAAAUACAAGAAUGAACCAAGUAGAGUUAGGGUGAAGUGCAAGCCUGGUUGUCCUUGGAUGAUAUUUGCUAGCAAGGAAGGUAGAAGCUCAAAUUUUACAGCAAGACAUAUAAUCCAGGGCAUAAAUGCCAUAAGACCAAUAUUAAUUUUCUUUGCAAUUCCAAAUAUAUGGCCAAGCAUUAUAAGGAGGGGAUCAUUUUACAACCUACCAUUAACGGGUGGGAAAUACAAGAUCUUAUGAUGGAAGAUUUUAAUGUGUAUGUGGGCAAGGCUAUUUGUUUAAAGACAAAAAAAAUUAUGUUGAAAGAGGUUAUGGGAGAUCAUGUUGCUGAGUUUGGCAGGUUAUUUGACUACAGGGAUGUGCUGCUACAGACAAAUCCCGGCAGCACAUGUGUUGUUAAGGUUACUGAACAAGAAUAUGGAAAAAAGAGUUUGUAAGCUUCUAUAUAUGCUUUGCUGCUAUGAAGAAGGGGUUCACGGAGGGUUGUAGGAAGUGUAUAGGGCUGGAUGGUUAUUUUCUAAAAGGAAUAUCGAAAGGCUAGUUAAUGGUAGCAAUUGCUAAAGAUGAAAACAAUCAAAUAUUUUCAAUUGCAUGGGUUAUUGUUGGGACUGAGAAAAAGGAUACACAGAGAUGGUUUAUGAGGAUCUUACAAGAUGACCUACAACUUGGAGAUGGAACUCAGGUCACUAUAAUCAGUGACAUGCAAAAGGCUUGGUUAGUGUCGCUGAAGAAGUAUUCCCAGCUUGUGAGCACAGAAUAUGUGCAAGACAUAUUCUAUCAAAUUGGUCAAAGAAGUGGAGGGGUAUUGAGAGAAGAAAGAAGUUUUAGAGUUGUGUUAGAGCAACAUUUGAGGCCGAGCUUAAAACCAAGCUAGAUGAGUUAAAUACAUUAGGUCACAAUAUUGUUGAAGAUCUUAUUUCAUAUAAUAAAGAAAGAUGGUGCAAAUUCUACUUCCAAGAAUUCUCCAAAUGUGACAGUGUGGACAAUAAUAUGUCGGGAAGUUUCAAUGCUUGGAUAUUGGGAGCUAGACACAAGACAAUUGUGUCAAUGCUAGAAGAAAUUAAAGUCAAGGUCAUGAUUAGAGUACCUAAGAUGAGGGCAUUUGCUGAAACUUGGGUAGACAUGAUAUCUCCAAUGGCAAUGAAGGUAUUCAACACUAAUGUGGAGAAGUCAAUGAAGUGUAAGAUUCACCUGUAUUGGAAUGGAGACAAUGGAUUUGAAAUUAAGGAAGGUAAAAUUAAUUUUAUUAUUUACAUGUAGAGAGGAUAUUGUAGCUGCAGGUCAUGGCAACUGAAAGGCAUUCCAUGUGCACAUGCCAUAACAACAAUGCACAACAGGAGGAUUGAUGCAUCUGAGUCAAUUGCAACAUGGUACAAAAAGGAGACCUAUCUGCAGGCUUAUUCAAACUUUAUACAACCUGUCCCAGUAUAAUAAUGUGGCUAGUUACCUCAAAUCCAAAGAUUGGGCCACCUGCAGUUCAAAAAAUGCCUGGUAGGCCAAAGAGAAAUAGAAGAAAAGAGGAAGGAUAACUUAAAAAGGCUGGUAAGUUAUCCAAAAUGGGAAUAGAAAUGACAUGCUCUAUUUUCAAGUCUAGUGCACAUAAUAAAAGAAGUUGUCCCUCCAGGCCAACAUCCCCAACAAUAACAUCAGAGUGUAAUGUUUCCCAACAAUCAUCAACCGGAAGUACACGGAAGAGAAGUGUUAUUGAUACUCAAGAGGGAUCUACAAACAGGGAAGGUAUUAAGGGAAGUAGAACUAAGUAUAAGAGGCCGAAGGUUAAAGGACAAGGUGUAUUUGUGUCUAAGACUGGUUAUAGUUGUGUUAAUAAGUUACAGGUGAUAUUGGAUAUAAGUCCAGCAAGUCUUUGGAGUGGAAAGGAAAGCAAGCUAUUACUCAAAGAGAACUCCAAAUACAAAGUGCUAUAUACGGAGUCUAAACAAGAUCAAAGGCUGUUGAAAUUCAAACAAGAUCACAAACGGAAACUUCUCCUUCGAAGAUAACAACAUAAAUUUCUAAGAUUAACUUAGCUAAGCUAAUUUUUGUGUUAGUGUUGGUAGUAUUCUAUAGAAGCUUUGGUGGUGUUGCUAGUAGUAUUUUGUAAGCACUUUGUGUUAGUGCUGGUAGUGAUUUACAAUCAUUUUGUGUUGGUGUUUGUAGUAUCUUAUAAGCACUUGUGAUGCUGUCCAAUUAUUUUUUGUUAAAUGACUCUUGCAAUGUCUAAACUUCCAGUAAGGGUAUAAUUAUUGCUUGGAUGUUAGUUGCUCA